AGUGAACGCUGGCGGCAGGCCUAACACAUGCAAGUCGAACGGCAGCACAGUAAGAGUUUGCUCCUACGGGUGGCGAGGGGCGGACGGGUGAGGAAUGCAUCGGAUUCUUCUUUUUCGUGGGUGACAACGGGGGGAAACAGAUGCUACUAGCGAAUACGUCCAACGGGUGAAAGCAGGGGUUCUCGGGACUUUGGCUGUCUGAUUGAGCUGAUGUCGGAUUAGCUAGUUGGUGGGGUAAAGGCCCACCAAGGCAACGAUCCGUAGCUGGUCUGAGAGGAUGAUCAGCCACACUGGAACUGAGACACGGUCCAGACUCCUACGGGAGGCAGCAGUGGGGAAUAUUGGACAAUGGGCGCAAGCCUGAUCCAGCAAUGCCGCGUGGGUGAAGAAGGCCUUCGGGUUGUAAAACUCUUUUGUUAGGAAAGAAAAGCAGCUGGUUAAUACCCGGCUGUUCUGACGGUACCGAAAGAACAAGCACCGGCUAACUACGUG
This 492-nucleotide ribosomal RNA is filed under the name uncultured bacterium. Its description in RNAcentral is "partial 16S ribosomal RNA". It matches the Rfam family "Bacterial small subunit ribosomal RNA", at positions 29 to 507 of the family's 1533-position model. The record is from RNAcentral.